GACGAACGCUGGCGGCGUGCUUAACACAUGCAAGUCGAACGGAAAGGCCCUGCUUUUGUGGGGUGCUCGAGUGGCGAACGGGAGAGUAACACGUGAGUAACCUGCCCUUGACUUUGGGAUAACUUCAGGAAACUGGGGCUAAUACCGGAUAGGUGCUCCUGCUGCAUGGUGGGGGUUGGAAAGUUUCGGCGGUUGGGGAUGGACUGGCGGGUUAUUAGCUAGUUGGUGGGGUGGUGGCUUACCAAGGCGAUGACGGGUAGCUGGUCUGAGAGGGUGACCAGCCACACUGGAACGGAGACACGGUCACGAGGCCUAGGGGAGGCAGCAGUGGGGAAUAUGGGACAAUGGGGGGGAGCAUGAUGCAGAAAUAGCGCGUGGGUGAAGAAGGCCUUCGGGUUGUAAAGUCAUUGUGUUGGGAAAGAAAAGCAGCAGGUUAAUACCCCGCUGUUCUGACGGUACCCAAAGAAUAAGAACAGGCUAACUUCGUG
RNAcentral lists this ribosomal RNA (488 nucleotides) under uncultured bacterium. RNAcentral describes it as "partial 16S ribosomal RNA". It matches the Rfam family "Bacterial small subunit ribosomal RNA", at positions 28 to 507 of the family's 1533-position model. The record is from RNAcentral.